This 32-nucleotide non-coding RNA is filed under the name Rattus norvegicus (Norway rat). Lineage: Eukaryota; Metazoa; Chordata; Mammalia; Rodentia; Muridae. The record is from RNAcentral.
UUUAGAGAGUGGACCCCUCAUGAAUGAGGUUU